This 300-nucleotide ribosomal RNA is filed under the name uncultured Paracoccus sp. RNAcentral describes it as "partial 16S ribosomal RNA". The stretch from base 52 to 300 matches the Rfam family "Bacterial small subunit ribosomal RNA", at positions 547 to 795 of the family's 1533-position model. Lineage: Bacteria; Pseudomonadati; Pseudomonadota; Alphaproteobacteria; Rhodobacterales; Paracoccaceae. The record is from RNAcentral.
GUUAGGGGGGGGCCAGAGGCGGCGCUAAUAAGAAGGGGGGGGGCGUGGCUCGGAAUCAAGGGGCGUAAAGCGCACGGAGGCGGCUUUCUAAGUCAGGGGUGAAAUCCUGGAGCUCAACUCCAGAACGGCCGUUGAUACUGGAGAGCUCGAGUCCGGAAGAGGUGAGUGGAACUGCGAGUGUAGAGGUGAAAUUCGUAGAUAUUCGCAAGAACACCAGGGGCGAAGGCGGCUCACUGGUCCGGUACUGACGCUGAGGUGCGAAAGCGUGGGGAGCAAACAGGAUUAGAUACCCUAGUAGUC